CAUAUCAAUAAGCGGAGGAAAAGAAACCAACAGGGAUUGCCCUAGUAACGGCGAGUGAAGCGGCAACAGCUCAAAUUUGAAAUCUGGCGCAAGCCCGAGUUGUAAUUUGUAGAGGAUGCUUCUGGGCAGCGGCCGGUCUAAGUUCCUUGGAACAGGACGUCACAGAGGGUGAGAAUCCCGUAUGUGACCGGCGCGCACCCUCCACGUAGCUCCUUCGACGAGUCGAGUUGUUUGGGAAUGCAGCUCUAAAUGGGAGGUAAAUUUCUUCUAAAGCUAAAUACCGGCCAGAGACCGAUAGCGCACAAGUAGAGUGAUCGAAAGAUGAAAAGCACUUUGGAAAGAGAGUUAAAAAGCACGUGAAAUUGUUGAAAGGGAAGCGCUUGCAACCAGACUCCGCGGCGGUGUUCCGCCGGUCUUCUGACCGGUCCACUCGCCGCCGCGGGGCCAACAUCGUCUGGGGCCGCCGGACAAGACUGGAGGAAUGUAGCUCCCUCGGGAGUGUUAUAGCCUUCAGUGAUGCGGCGCGUCCCGGGCGAGGUCCGCGCUUCGGCAAGGAUGUUGGCGUAAUGGUUGCCAGCGGCCCGUCUUGAAACACGGACCAAGGAGUCUAACAUCUAUGCGAGUGUUCGGGUGUCAAACCCCUACGCGUAAUGAAAGUGAACGGAGGUGGGAGCUUCGGCGCACCAUCGACCGAUCCUGAUGUCCUCGGAUGGAUUUGAGUAAGAGCAUAGCUGUUGGGACCCGAAAGAUGGUGAACUAUGCCUGAAUAGGGUGAAGCCAGAGGAAACUCUGGUGGAGGCUCGCAGCGGUUCUGACGUGCAAAUCGAUCGUCAAAUUUGGGUAUAGGGGCGAAAGACUAAUCGAACCAUCUAGUAGCUGGUUCCUGC
RNAcentral lists this ribosomal RNA (887 nucleotides) under Microcyclosporella mali. Its description in RNAcentral is "LSU rRNA". It matches the Rfam family "Eukaryotic large subunit ribosomal RNA", at positions 39 to 961 of the family's 3401-position model. Lineage: Eukaryota; Fungi; Ascomycota; Dothideomycetes; Mycosphaerellales; Mycosphaerellaceae. The record is from RNAcentral.